AGAAUCAACGCUGGCGGCGUGCCUAACACAUGCAAGUCGAACGAGAAAGUGGAGCAAUCCAUGAGUAAAGUGGCGCACGGGUGAGUAACACGUGACUAACCUACCCUUGAGUGGGGGAUAAACCUCGGGAAACCGGGGCUAAUACCGCAUAAUAUCGAGAGAUCAAAGGAGCAAUUCGCUUAAGGAGGGGGUCGCGGCUGAUUAGCUAGUUGGUGAGGUAAUGGCUCACCAAGGCUAUGAUCAGUAUCCGGCCUGAGAGGGCGCACGGACACACUGGAACUGAAACACGGUCCAGACUCCUACGGGAGGCAGCAGUGGGGAAUUUUGCGCAAUGGGGGAAACCCUGACGCAGCAACGCCGCGUGGAGGAUGAAGUCCCUUGGGACGUAAACUCCUUUCGAUCGGGACGAUUAUGACGGUACCGGAAGAAGAAGCCCGGCUAACUUCGUGCCAGCAGCCGC
RNAcentral lists this ribosomal RNA (460 nucleotides) under uncultured bacterium. RNAcentral describes it as "SSU rRNA". It matches the Rfam family "Bacterial small subunit ribosomal RNA", at positions 26 to 518 of the family's 1533-position model. The record is from RNAcentral.